CACAAAUAAUUAGUAAUAAACUCCCAAUUAAAGAUAAAAUCAAUUCUAUAUAAAACAAGUACUAUUUGUAAUUAAAAUUACAUAAAUAAAUUCUAAAUUUAUUGCACUAAUCUGCCAAAAUAGUUUAUAUUUAAUAACAUUCUAUAUUAAAAUAUAAUUAUUUCAAUAUUUGGUCCUUUCGUACUAAAAUAUUGUAAAUUUUUAAAGAUAGAAACCAACCUGGCUUACACCGGUUUGAACUCAGAUCAUGUAAGAAUUUAAAAGUCGAACAGACUUAAAAUUUAAGCGGCUACACCUAAAAUUAUAUCUUAAUCCAACAUCGAGGUCGCAAUCUUUUUUAUCGAUAUGAACUCUCCAAAAAAAUUACGCUGUUAUCCCUAAAGUAACUUAAAUUUUUAAUCAUUACUAAUGGAUCAAUUAUUCAUAAAUUAAUGAUUUUAAAAAUUAAAAGUUUUUUAAAUUUUAAUAUCACCCCAAUAAAAUAUUUUAUAAUAUUAUAAUAAAAUUAAUCUUUACAAUUAAAAUAAAUAAAAUAUAAAGAUUUAUAGGGUCUUCUCGUCUUUUAAAUAAAUUUUAGCUUUUUGACUAAAAAAUAAAAUUCUAUAAUAAUUUUAAAUGAAACAGUUAAUAUUUCGUCCAACCAUUCAUUCCAGCCUUCAAUUAAAAGACUAAUGAUUAUGCUACCUUUGCACAG
RNAcentral lists this ribosomal RNA (694 nucleotides) under Paramycodrosophila n. sp. POG-2002. RNAcentral describes it as "partial 16S ribosomal RNA". The record is from RNAcentral. Lineage: Eukaryota; Metazoa; Arthropoda; Insecta; Diptera; Drosophilidae.